CUCUCUCUCUCUCUCUCUCUCUCUCUCUCUCUCUCUCUCUCUCUCUCUCUCUCUCUCUCUCACGCGAACCAGUCCUCUCUGCACAGACCUCUCUCACGCGAAACCAAUCCGCUCUGCAUAGUCCUCUCUGCUCAUACCUCUCUCACGCGAAACCAGUCUCCAUAUUGUGUUUUUGGUUUUAAGGUUCCUUUCAACAUUUUGAGACUAUAUCCUUCUUGUACUAUUAUUGGACUUUUAAAUAACAAUGUCAAUUUUUAUAGUCCUUUGGGUGUAGAGGUUGCAAGAAUGUUCUUACCAAAUUAGUUCAUAUUUGUUGUUGUGUAUUGGAGUUUAAUUAAAGUAAUGUAUGUGGUUUGUAAUGUUCUAAACAAAUCAGUUCAAACAAUAUAAUAUGUAGUGAAUUUUUUUUUCUUCUUUUA
Molecule: long non-coding RNA, 419 nt
Organism: Carya illinoinensis
Lineage: Eukaryota; Viridiplantae; Streptophyta; Magnoliopsida; Fagales; Juglandaceae
Exons: 2
Source: RefSeq, a predicted model, not a curated record